CGCAUCUGUGCAUGCAGCAUAUCAAUAAGCGGAGGAAAAGAAACUAACAAGGAUUCCCCUAGUAACGGCGAGUGAAGCGGGAAGAGCUCAAAUUUGAAAUCUUAAAGGGUUUCCCUUUACGAAUUGUAGUUUAAAGAAGUGUUUUCUGUUGAGGUUUUGGUAAAAGUUCUUUGGAAUAGGACAUCAUAGAGGGUGAGAAUCCCGUAUUUGACCUUUACUUUCAACUUUGUGAUACACUUUCAAAGAGUCGGAUUGUUUGGGAAUAGCAGUCCAAAAUGGGUGGUAAAUUUCAUCUAAAGCUAAAUAUUGGCGAGAGACCGAUAGCGAACAAGUACCGUGAGGGAAAGAUGAAAAGAACUUUGAAAAGAGAGUUAAACAGUACGUGAAAUUGUCAAAAGGGAAGCGUUUGACACCAGUGUUGUUUUUCUGAAAAUCAAUUAAAGAACUGUUUAUGCUAAGCUGUUUAGACUUUAUCAGCUAACUGUUUAGUUUUGAGCUUUUCUUUAAUGCACUUUUCAGUUAACAAGUCAACAUCAAUUUCUUUUGCUGUAAAAAAGCUUGAGGAAGGUGGCUUGAGAUUCGUCUUAAGUGUUUAUAGCCUCUUGCCUAUGCAGUCGGAGAGAUUGAGGUCUGCAGCGUAGAUCCUUCGGGGCUAAAUGCAUUUGUGCUAAGUUAUAACAUUUUAUAGACAACUUGUUGACUAUGAUUUGUCUUGUAGCUUACUCGCUUAUGUUAUUUUACCUACGCUUAGGAUGUUGACAGCAGUAUAGACUGU
Molecule: ribosomal RNA, 775 nt
Filed under: uncultured Neocallimastigales
Lineage: Eukaryota; Fungi; Neocallimastigomycota; Neocallimastigomycetes; Neocallimastigales
Description: partial large subunit ribosomal RNA
Rfam family: Eukaryotic large subunit ribosomal RNA
Source: RNAcentral